Oncorhynchus tshawytscha (Chinook salmon) is the source of this 3567-nucleotide long non-coding RNA. The record is from Ensembl. NCBI's taxonomy places the organism in Eukaryota, Metazoa, Chordata, Actinopteri, Salmoniformes, Salmonidae.
GGGAUAUUGAGGUCGGAGAAUUCGGAGCUCGAGGAUGAUCCAAGUUUCCGAUUUGGAAUUUCGAGUUGGAUGACCGUUCAAAACAAAUUUUCCAAUUCGAAACACAUUUUUCCGAAUUGCAAGUUGUAUUGAACACACUGAGGUCAGAUGUCGGAGAUUCCCGAGUUCCCAGUUGAAUGGAACGCUGCAUGAACUCCGACUUCUCUCCCAUUAUGGCCUCUUCGUUUUUUUAAAUGUAACUAGGCAAGUCAGUUAAGAACAAAUUCUUAUUUAUUUAUAAACCGGGACAACGCUGAGCCAAUUGUGCGCCGCACUAUGGGACUCCCAAUCACAGCCAGUUGUGAUACAGCCUGGAUUCGAACCAGAGUGUUUGUAGUGACGCCUCUAGCACUGUAUCAGGAAAUGAAAGCAGUAUCAGGAAAUGAUCUCCAUAACAGAUUUUUCGGCAGUUAAGUGUAACAACUAAACAUUAUUUAUAAAAGCAAUCUAUUCAUAUAUAUUUUUUCACACUGUAUUUUCUUGACAAGCAUGAUUGAUAGCUGUUCUUGUAGUUUAUGGUUGACCAGCUGGUUGGCCAUUAGCCAAUCGGCGUUUCAACGAGUUCAAAGCAUGUGUGAAUGUAUCCAAAUUGCAACGAGUAAUUACCACCUUCCCAUGUGGUUAUGCUGCGUUCAUGUGCUCGUCGAAGUAUUUGAUUUCGAUAAUAUUGCUUUGUUUCAUUCAUUUGCUUUUUGGUCUGACUCUGCAAACUUGUUAGAUGCAUUUGCUGUUUGUUUUGCUUGUUUUUCAGUUUAUGUUGUGCCCAAUAGAAAUUAAUGAUAAAUAAUGUAUUUUAGGAAGGUAGAAAGAAAGUCAUUUGAACCGGUGAUUCGUAACAUUUGGAUUAGAAGACACUGGGUAUCUCUCCUCUGAUGGCUGCCAUGAAUGGUCACGUCCCUGCGGUCAAGCUGCUGCUGGACAUGGGCUCAGACAUCAACACUCAGAUCGAGACCAAACGUAACACAGCACAGACCCUGGCCUGCCAACGUGGAGCACUGCGUCAAGGCUGUGUCAGAUGGCUAUACUGAGAUGGGGCAUGUGCUACUGGCCAAGAGCGCUUACGCCACCUGUCCAAACCUCCCAAGACACCGUGUGCACCAUUGCUGCAGACAAGGGCCACUACAAGUUCUGUGAGCUCCUCAUCAACACGUAAUUACUGUUACAGUCUACCUUCAGUAUGAGAGUGAGUGUCAUUUCAGUCAGAAUACCAUUCCUCUCCAGUCUCAUUGCUCAGACCUGCAACUCGUCUCUGAGUGAGUUAUUACAGUGUUAUAACCAGCAGUGUGUGUAGUUCGGCAUUUGCUUCUCGCUAAAGUCCAAACUAUUCACAUUUCCUCUCUCCUUUAGUCUGGUCCAUCUCAGAGCUGUGACCAAUCAAAUCAAUUCAAAUCAAAGUUUAUUGUGCACCGAAUACAACAGGUGUAGUAGACAUUAUAGUGAAAUGCUUACUUACAACCCUCAUAUCCCGGGCAUAACAUGUGACUUCAAUCUGAGUGAAUAUGUAUUAUGUUGUAGCUGGUGCUCUGCUCCCUACCCUGCGAUUUGUUGUAUGAAUUGCUGUGAUUUGAGGCUGUAGUUUAUGUUUUAUUUUUAUUGUAUUUGUGUGUAUAAGGGGACACUGCUAUGGUGGCUGUGUGGCUCAGGGCUAUGUUCCCUACUCCCUACAAAGCAUUUUGUUGUAUAAAUUGUAAUAAUAUAAUUUUUUCUUGUUUUUCUUGUUUUGUUUUUUGGUAUAAAAUAUAAUUCUGAGCAAUGACUAAAUGUCUACUUGUUAAUUGUUUCAGGUUGUUAGUUUACAACUAUCAGGGGGGUUGAAGGAUAAUAUGAAUUUGCAUCAGGACACUUCUGAGGGGACUCUGGCGAUACAUCUGCAGGAUCGACUUAUUUCUGGCAGACAGAAUGGGCCGAUUCUGGGCAGUCAUUCAAUAUGACAUCGUUGCUAGCUGGGUAAAAUGUCAGAAGAUCUUUUAGUUUUAGUUACAGCACAAUAAAAAAGCAAUACAAAUUGUUGUUACCGCCACCAACUUGUACAGGGUGUAAUAAAAGCCAUGGUUGAUGCUUUUUGCCUACUGUAAACAUUGCACUCAGAAAUUAGGAUAUAAAUAGUACCCCAAACUGAUCCAAAUGUAGUAUCGAUUCAAAUGUUACGAAUCGCCACUUCACUAAAUGUUUUUGUUCAAAUUACUUUCUAUCUAUCUCCCUAAAAUACAUUAUUUACCAUUCAUUUCUAUUGGGCACAACAUAAUCUGAAAUCAACCAAAACAAACAGCAAAUGCAUCCAACAAGUUUGUAGAGUCACAAGCUUGAUGUAAUCAUUGAGUGCUAGGAAUAUGGGACCAAAUACUAACUGCUUGACUACUUUAAGAUGCAUAAGCUAAUUUGUUCCAAUACUUUUGGGCCCCUAAAAUGGGGGGACUAUGUACAAAGGUGCUGUAAUUUCAUGGAUUAUUUGAUAUGGAUUACAAUACCAUCCAAUUAAAGCGGACAGUCUGCACUUUAACCUUAUAGUCAUUGUAUCAUUUCAAAUCCAAAGUGCUGGAGUACAGAGCCAACACAACAACAAAAUUGUCACUGUCCCAACACUUUUGGAGCUCACUGUAUGUUGACAGUCAUUGAUCUACAAGUCAUUUUGCAUGAAGAACAACUCCUGGCAAUAUCAGUAGCUUUGUCAAAUUGAGCGCUGUCUACAGCUUUGCAUGUUGACCACGGAGAGGUAGGCCUAUACCUGAUCUGGCACAUCUGUGCAUCUCCUUCAGCAUUGAAAUGUUUGUAAAAUGGUUUGCGCAGUAUUAUGCUUUAUUAGUUGAGUGACAACCAAUGUCAUAUUCUAGGUUAUUUUUUAUCAAAUGCACUGUUCAAAAGGGUGUUUUACUGGAAUAAAAGUAGCCUAAACUACCGCUGGAGGCACAACUCUCAAUCUGGCUAUAGGUAGGCUACAUUCUGAUCAGGGUUUACAUUAGAUUUUAUUUCAAUUGUUCAGGUUCUCCCGUCAGCAAUAGUUUUGGUAGUUUUACUUGAAGCAAUCAAUAUGCAUGGUCAUUUUCAGAUAUACAGGGUAAAGUUCAGAAUUUCAUGAGGACAAAAGAGUGCAUGAUCGAAGCUACCAAAAAAGUGCAUGAUCGAAACGGGAGAAGAAGAGUUGCUCAAUCCAGAGUCUGUCAAAACUUCCAAACAGUCUAAACCAUUCUAUUAUGAGACAGGGUCAAAUCCAAAGUUGUGCUAUAUAUUCGUUGGCUAUGUUAUAGUACAUUUUUUAAGAUACGUAUUGAUACAUUACUAGCUCUAACACUUUUAAUCAGCAAUGGGCUGAUAGUGGGGUGGUAGAUUCCCAGUUUCCCUUAUAGCUCAGCUACACACACACACACACACACACACACACACACAGCUCAGAGAGAUCCAGCUCAGAGUCCCAGCUCAUUUACAGCAGAUUACUUUAGAAUGGAAAAUGAAUGUGUUUAAGCAACAAAUGUAAGAGCAUCAAACCAUGUCAGGUCGCAAUUGUAAAUGAGAACUUGUUCUCAACUUGCC